GUGGAGCAUGUGGCUUAAUUUGACUCAACGCGGGGAAUCUUACUAGGUCCGGACCGAGUCUAUGAACGUCGUACCGUUGGGUGCUACGUGAUUACUGGAUGAGUGGUGCAUGGCCGUUCUUAGUUCGUGGUGUUAAUUGUCUACUUAAUUGUUAUCGUUCCCGUAUCUCACGGUACGGAGCGCAUAACGAACGAGAUCGAGACCCGUGGUUUACGUCUUAGGUUAUUUGUGUACGACGUUUAAACUACGGGGAUCGCGUAAUACUCAACGGUACGAUCGAAAGACUCGGCAAUAACAGGUCUGUGAUGCCCUCAGAUGUUCUAGGCUGCACACGUGCUACAUUGUGAGUUGUAGUAUAUUGUGUAUGCGUAGAUAUGUCUAAGAUCCCCCGCAUCGAGUCAAUUACUCACGUGGUUGGACUCACCGAUUGUAAUAAUUAUUCGGUAUACUAA
This 452-nucleotide ribosomal RNA is filed under the name Amphistegina lobifera. RNAcentral's name for it is "SSU rRNA". It matches the Rfam family "Eukaryotic small subunit ribosomal RNA", at positions 1176 to 1607 of the family's 1831-position model. The record is from RNAcentral. Lineage: Eukaryota; Foraminifera; Rotaliida; Amphisteginidae.